Rosa rugosa (rugosa rose) is the source of this 1849-nucleotide long non-coding RNA. RefSeq lists it as uncharacterized. The transcript has 3 exons. The record is from RefSeq and is a predicted model, not a curated record. NCBI's taxonomy places the organism in Eukaryota, Viridiplantae, Streptophyta, Magnoliopsida, Rosales, Rosaceae.
UGUUCGGCCGAAUGGUAGGCCCAAAUGUUAAACCCAAAUUGUUUCGGGCCGGUUCGAAAUGUGGAUGGUUCGGUUCCUUCGGCCCAAAUGGCCGGUUCAAAUGCUUAGCCCAAGGAUUGGGCAAGCCCAAGCCAUCAUUACUGGGAGUAACGCGGAUUAGUGGACCCUCCCAGAGCCCACAAGAAGGCCCAGGUGGCCCAUAAUGAAUAAGAAGACGUUGUGGAAGUGUUUGGAUUUUAUAAAUUCUUGAUUUAGGGAAGCAAUGUUUUUGCACAUUGAUUUGUGUGCUUGAGAUUUGGCUAAUGUUGGUAGUUAAACUCUAGCCUGUGAUUUCUUGUUAUGGAGAACUUGUGGUGAUUUGUGAAGUGAUGAAUUGAUUUAGUUACCAUUAGGAUAUGACCUUUGUGGUUAGAACUGUUCGUAUCUUAGAUAGGUGUACGAAGAAGCUUUGUAGGAAGGAGGUUAAUCUUGUGAAGGUGCUGUGGAGUCAUCAUGACGAGGGUAAUGCAUCAUGGGAGUUAGAGUCUGACAUGAGAGUGAAGUAUCCACAGCUCUUUGUGGAAUUGGGUACUUGAAUUUCGGGACGAAAUUCCUUUAAGGAGGGUAGAUUGUAAUAACCCAUUUCUUUUAAUCAAAGCAAAACAACAUUGCUUUUACUUUCAUGAUUUUGAUGCUUUACCUUUAAUGAUUAUGCUUAAUUAGUAGGGUUACUGAUUGAGUUGAUUGUGAUCGACCGACACUCACACUCUCCCUCUCUCUCACUCACACUCUCACUCUCUCUGUCGGCCGAACCCAGCAACAAACAGAGCACGGUUUCUCCAAUCUCUCUCUAGCACCACAGACCACCAAAUGACACCGGACCACGUCCUACGCCUUCACCUCUUCCUUGCGCAGCUGCCGGUGGUAUCUUUUGGCCGUCUCGUGAGCCGUACACGGCGGUGGAGCACGAGGCCGGUUUAACCCGAUUUGGUCCCGAGCUUGAUAACUCGAGCUACAAGCCACCAAUCCUUGCCAAACUCCAUCCUCAGGUUCGUCUCAACCUUCUGAAACUCCCAGAAGCACCCUUGCACGGCGGCGCGGCUCGUAGCAGCUGCUGAAGUCAACCCCGAGCUAGAUCGAACGGAACUUUCGAUCCAGAUAUCUCAAGCUGUGGAGCUUCGUUUCGAGUGAUUCUUGAACUGGUAAACUCACCUUGAGUUUCUGAACAACUCUCUAGAAGGAAUCGAAGCCUGAAAUUGAAGUUUUGACGUCGAAAUCAAGCCUUGCCGGAUUCUGCAAAAUUCUGGAAUUUUUCCGACCACCGAAGCUUUCGAUCGGUAUAUCUCGAGCUACAGACCAUAUUUUUCUGUACUUCUUGAACCAGUGAGUUCUUCUUGAGUUUCUUAACAACUCUUCAGAAGGAAUCGAAGCCUUAAAUUGACGUUUUUACGUCGAAUUGGAGCUCGCCGUUUUCUGCAGUUUCUCGCCGGUUUCUGGAAAAUUCCGGCCACCUUCAUACUGUUCAAGGUGGUUGAUGGAUUGAUUGGUGAACGAUUUCGGAUCGUUGUUUUGAGCUGUUAAGAAGACGCAGCGGGAAUUUAGAGCGGGUAAUCCUACAGGACAGGAGAACCAGGACGGUGAUCGUGCGGUUAGAGCAAUGGUUAUAGUUUUACAGCAAUUGUAAUAGUGAGGCGAGUUAAGCUCAUUUGAGCAUUACAAUUUGAUUUGGUGGGAGUGUGCUGUAAUAAAUAACUUGAGGAUUUGGGUUAUUGUAAAUUUGAGAGUUGUGAAGUGUGGUUGUUUGUGAGAAAAAAAUUCAGGAUGUUAGUUGUAAUUUGUUAUUAUUCAUGUUUCGGAUUUGAAUUGAUUA